Molecule: non-coding RNA, 45 nt
Organism: Papio anubis (olive baboon)
Lineage: Eukaryota; Metazoa; Chordata; Mammalia; Primates; Cercopithecidae
Source: Rfam
CCAAAGGCUCUUUUCAGAGCCACCCAAUUAUUCCAACGAAAGUAG